CAGCAGCAGCCGCGGGAAUACGAAGGGUGCAAGCGUUACUCGGAAUUACUGGGCGUAAAGCGUGCGUAGGUGGUGGUUUAAGUCCGUUGUGAAAGCCCUGGGCUCAACCUGGGAAUUGCAGUGGAUACUGGGUCACUAGAGUGUGGUAGAGGAUAGUGGAAUUUCCGGUGUAGCAGUGAAAUGCGUAGAGAUCGGAAGGAACAUCUGUGGCGAAGGCGACUAUCUGGGCCAACACUGACACUGAGGCACGAAAGCUAGGGGAGCAAACAGGAUUAGAUAUCCCCGUAGUCCCUGUCUCUUAUAC
This 304-nucleotide ribosomal RNA is filed under the name uncultured bacterium. RNAcentral describes it as "partial 16S ribosomal RNA". It matches the Rfam family "Bacterial small subunit ribosomal RNA", at positions 506 to 807 of the family's 1533-position model. The record is from RNAcentral.